GUCACCCCAUCGGGGUGUCCACGGCAUCAUUGGGGGUUAAGCCACUUAGUCAUGGAGACAAGUGAAUGCGCAACAAGGGAUCUCUAACCUUCAAACCGUUUGAGGGAGAAUACUCUAUGAUAUGAUUUAGAACCUCUGGCCAGAGUAUGAAUGAGAUUUAGGAAAGCGUUCCAAAUCACAUUCCAGGUAAUAAUAUAAGCACACGAAUCACAUUGGAUAGUAGACAUGAAUAAAUAAACUAUCAAACCAAACAAUGUGGUCAAGAGUAUUGUAUUAGAGAAAGAUCGUAUUGCAUUUGUAAUCCUAAACUGAAUAGGUUCUCCACCUCUUCUGAUUAGCUUGGGUAACCAUGAUACGCUGCUAGGUGUCACUCAUGGUUUGUGGAAGCCCUAAACGUGUGUAAUCACUAAAGGGAGAAUUGAAAGUAAGUUUCAAUUCACAAUCGAUGUAAAAUGGUUUUAAUCGCCCACUGCCUCGCUAAAAUGAACCUAAUGGAUCGUACACCGUGUAAGGUGGAGAUUGAAGAAACAAUGGAGAUGAGUAAGAAUAAUUAAAUGGUUUAAUUAUUUAUGGCAAGGAUUAAUUAAUAUGUUAAUUAAUCAAACGAAUAAGUUCGUUAAAGACCUUGGGAUAGUUUUGGACCUUAAGGCCCAAUGGGCUUCAAACGUCAAGCCCAUUGACUUAAGUUGUAUGACAACUUAAUGAAUAAUGAUUCACAAAGGCCUAAAAGGCCCAAUGAAACCACAAGGCCGGCCAUGAUGCUUUUGGAGUGGAUUUUGGACUUAUUUACAAGUUUGCCACUCCAAUGAAUUAAGGUAUAAAUAUGACUUUAUAGCCAAAAUUCAUUUUAGGGUUUGUUUUGGAGAAAAUUGGGGAGAACAUGUCUCUCCAUUUCUCUCUAAAGAGGCCAGCCCCUUGGAGGGUGGAUCUAGCAAUCCCACUACUCCAAGGUCACUCAUUUCUUCAUCAAUCUUACCUUGGUGUGGAUACUUAGAGGUUCUCAAUUUUGGGAACUUGGAGAACCAUAUUCUUCCAUCCAAAUCCAUGGAUCUAAGAAGUAAGGAAUGAAGGCCCUCUCUUU
This 1081-nucleotide long non-coding RNA is filed under the name Malus domestica (apple). RNAcentral describes it as "long non-coding RNA (MDOM_LNC020953)". Lineage: Eukaryota; Viridiplantae; Streptophyta; Magnoliopsida; Rosales; Rosaceae. The record is from RNAcentral.